Molecule: ribosomal RNA, 442 nt
Filed under: uncultured soil bacterium
Lineage: Bacteria
Description: bacterial SSU rRNA
Rfam family: Bacterial small subunit ribosomal RNA
Source: RNAcentral
AGAGCGAACGCUGGCGGCAGGCUUAACACAUGCAAGUCGAACGGGCACCUUCGGGUGUCAGUGGCAGACGGGUGAGUAACACGUGGGAACGUACCCUUCGGUUCGGGAUAACUCAGGGAAACUUGUGCUAAUACCGGAUACGCCCUUACGGGGAAAGAUUUAUUGCCGAAGGAUCGGCCGCGUCUGAUUAGCUAGUUGGUGAGGUAACGGCUCACCAAGGCGACGAUCAGUAGCUGGUCUGAGAGGAUGAUCAGCCACAUUGGGACUGAGACACGGCCCAGACUCCUACGGGAGCAGCAGUGGGAAUAUUGGACAAUGGGCGAAAGCCUGAUCCAGCCAUGCGCGUGAGUGAUGAAGGCCCUAGGUUGUAAAGCUCUUUCGGCGGGGACGAUAAUGACGGUACCGCAGAAGAAGCCCGGACUAACUUCGUGUCAGCAGCCGC